CAGCCCCACGGUAAUACGGAGGGUGCAAGCGUUAAUCGGAAUUACUGGGCGUAAAGCGCACGCAGGCGGUCUGACAAGUCAGAUGUGAAAUCCCCGGGCUUAACCUGGGAACUGCAUUUGAAACUGUCAGGCUGGAGUCUUGUAGAGGGGGGUAGAAUUCCAGGUGUAGCGGUGAAAUGCGUAGAGAUCUGGAGGAAUACCGGUGGCGAAGGCGGCCCCCUGGACAAAGACUGACGCUCAGGUGCGAAAGCGUGGGGAGCAAACAGGAUUAGAUACCCCUGUAGUCCCUGUCUCUUAUACC
RNAcentral lists this ribosomal RNA (301 nucleotides) under uncultured bacterium. Its description in RNAcentral is "partial 16S ribosomal RNA". It matches the Rfam family "Bacterial small subunit ribosomal RNA", at positions 509 to 808 of the family's 1533-position model. The record is from RNAcentral.